AUACGGAGGAUCCGAGCGUUAUCCGGAUUUAUUGGGUUUAAAGGGAGCGUAGGCGGAUUAUUAAGUCAGUUGUGAAAGUUUGCGGCUCAACCGUAAAAUUGCAGUUGAUACUGGUUUCCUUGAGUACGGUACAGGUGGGCGGAAUUCGUGGUGUAGCGGUGAAAUGCUUAGAUAUCACGAAGAACUCCGAUCGCGAAGGCAGCUCACCGGGCCGGAACUGACACUGAUGCUCGAAAGUGCGGGUAUCAAACAGGAUUAGAUACCCUGGUAGUCCGCACAGUAAACGAUGAAUACUCGCUGUUUGCGAUACACUGUAAGCGGCCAAGCGAAAGCGUUAAGUACUCCACCUGGGGAGUACGCCGGCAACGGUGAAACUUAAAGGAAUUGGCGGGG
Molecule: ribosomal RNA, 393 nt
Filed under: uncultured bacterium
Lineage: Bacteria
Description: partial 16S ribosomal RNA
Rfam family: Bacterial small subunit ribosomal RNA
Source: RNAcentral